AGUGAACGCUGGCGGUAGGCCUAACACAUGCCAGUCGAACGGCAGCACAGUAAUAGCUUGCUCUUACGGGUGGCGAGUGGCGGACGGGUGAGGAAUACAUCGGAAUCUACUUUUUCGUGGGGGAUAACGUAGGGAAACUUACGCUAAUACCGCAUACGACCUACGGGUGAAAGCAGGGGAUCUUCGGACCUUGCGCGAUUGAAUGAGCCGAUGUCGGAUUAGCUAGUUGGCGGGGUAAAGGCCCACCAAGGCGACGAUCCGUAGCUGGUCUGAGAGGAUGAUCAGCCACACUGGAAGUGAGACACGGUCCAGACUCCUACGGGAGGCAGCAGUGGGGAAUAUUGGACAAUGGGCGCAAGCCUGAUCCAGCCAUACCGCGUGGGUGAAGAAGGCCUUCGGGUUGUAAAGCCCUUUUGUUGGGAAUGAAAAGCAGCAGGUUAAUACCCCGCUGUUCUGACGGUACCCAAAGAAUAAGCACCGGCUAACUUCGUG
Molecule: ribosomal RNA, 492 nt
Filed under: uncultured bacterium
Lineage: Bacteria
Description: partial 16S ribosomal RNA
Rfam family: Bacterial small subunit ribosomal RNA
Source: RNAcentral